RNAcentral lists this long non-coding RNA (266 nucleotides) under Rosa chinensis. RNAcentral's name for it is "sRNA RchiOBHm_Chr5g0045531". Lineage: Eukaryota; Viridiplantae; Streptophyta; Magnoliopsida; Rosales; Rosaceae. The record is from RNAcentral.
CGCCGAAAACCCCCGACGCCAUUUUUUCGUUGUGCCCAAAGCGAUUUAGAGACGACUACCAAACCAAACCACCACAACCACCGUAGGAGGAGGAGGAGGAGGAGCGAUCGGCUAUGUCGCAAGGAAGCGGAAGCGUCGUCGGCGGAGGAGGGGGGCGGGAUUUUCAAUUGCCGAACGAGAUCAUGGUGGUGAUUCCGAGAGACCAGUACGAGCAGUUGGAUCUGGCGAGGAAGAUCACGUCGAUGGCGAUAGCCACUAGGGUUUCG